This 301-nucleotide ribosomal RNA is filed under the name uncultured bacterium. RNAcentral describes it as "partial 16S ribosomal RNA". It matches the Rfam family "Bacterial small subunit ribosomal RNA", at positions 509 to 807 of the family's 1533-position model. The record is from RNAcentral.
CAGCCGCCGCGGUAAUACGUAGGUGGCAAGCGUUGUCCGGAAUUAUUGGGCGUAAAGGGCUCGCAGGCGGUUUCUUAAGUCUGAUGUGAAAGCCCCCGGCUCAACCGGGGAGGGUCAUUGGAAACCGGGAAACUUGAGUGCAGAAGAGGAGUGUGGAAUUCCACGUGUAGCGGUGAAAUGCGUAGAGAUGUGGAGGAACACCAGUGGCGAAGGCGACUCUCCGGUCUGUAACUGACGCUGAGGAGCGAAAGCGUGGGGAGCGAACAGGAUUAGAUACCCCGGUAGUCCCUGUCUCUUAUAC